GCUUUUUGCGGAUGGGAGCGUACAUUGGGUUGGGCGUCGCAGGACAAGUCUAAUGUGCCAGACAGUAGAAGUAAACUAAAGAGUCCUGGGAUUAUAAAUAUUGAUUUGUUUACUCUUCAAGCCACCUCAUCACAAAAUCAAUGCAUCAUAACUUGGCUAAAACAAGUCGUAUCUUCAAAUGUUAUACCUUCCCGAACUCAGCUCGUGCCGUACUAACAUCGUAUAUUCGAAACUGGACU
This is a non-coding RNA of Drosophila melanogaster (fruit fly), 239 nucleotides long. The record is from Ensembl. Lineage: Eukaryota; Metazoa; Arthropoda; Insecta; Diptera; Drosophilidae.